This 1031-nucleotide ribosomal RNA is filed under the name Odocoileus hemionus (mule deer). Its description in RNAcentral is "partial 16S ribosomal RNA". It matches the Rfam family "Bacterial large subunit ribosomal RNA", at positions 853 to 2593 of the family's 2925-position model. The record is from RNAcentral. Lineage: Eukaryota; Metazoa; Chordata; Mammalia; Artiodactyla; Cervidae.
GUCCAGGAAAUGAAUAUUAGUUCAGCUUUAAAAAUACCAAUAAUAUAAACAAAUAUACUGUAUUUUUAAAAGUUAGUCUAAAAGGGUACAGCCUUUUAGAAACGGAUACAACCUUAACUAGAGAGUAAAACUUGACAAUACCAUAGUAGGCCCAAAAGCAGCCACCAAUUAAGAAAGCGUUAAAGCUCAACAAUAAAACUAUCUUAAUCCCAAUAACAAAUAAUUAACUCCUAGCCUUAAUACUGGACUAAUCUAUAAAAAUAGAAGCAAUAAUGUUAAUAUGAGUAACAAGAAGUACCUUCUCCCCGCACGAGUUUAAGUCAGUACCUGAUAAUAUUCUGACCAUUAACAGCAAAAUAAGAAUAACCUAACUAUAAAUAACUUACUUAUUGUACUGUUAAUCCAACACAGGAGUGCACUUAAGGAAAGAUUAAAAGAAGUAAAAGGAACUCGGCAAACACUAAACCCCGCCUGUUUACCAAAAACAUCACCUCCAGCAUAACUAGUAUUGGAGGCAUUGCCUGCCCAGUGACAACCGUUAAACGGCCGCGGUAUCCUGACCGUGCAAAGGUAGCAUAAUCAUUUGUUCUCUAAAUAAGGACUUGUAUGAAUGGCCAAACGAGGGUUUUACUGUCUCUUACUUCCAAUCAGUGAAAUUGACCUUCCCGUGAAGAGGCGGGAAUACCAUAAUAAGACGAGAAGACCCUAUGGAGCUUUAACUACUUAGUCCAAAGAAAUAAAUUUACUAACCAAGGAAACAACAAUACUCUUUAUGGACUAACAGCUUUGGUUGGGGUGACCUCGGAGAACAGAAAAUCCUCCGAGCGAUUUUAAAGACUAGACUCACAAGUCAAAUCACACAAUCGCUUAUUGAUCCAAAAAAUUGAUCAACGGAACAAGUUACCCUAGGGAUAACAGCGCAAUCCUAUUCAAGAGUUCAUAUCGACAAUAGGGUUUACGACCUCGAUGUUGGAUCAGGACACCCCGAUGGUGCAACCGCUAUCAAAGGUUCGUUUGUUCAACGAUUAAAG